RNAcentral lists this long non-coding RNA (868 nucleotides) under Cairina moschata (Muscovy duck). RNAcentral describes it as "domestica (muscovy Duck (domestic type)) lncRNA (ENSCMMG00000002461.1)". Lineage: Eukaryota; Metazoa; Chordata; Aves; Anseriformes; Anatidae. The record is from RNAcentral.
GAGGAGAGGCACAAUCUUUUGUCAGUGCACAUGACUUGUACGGAAAAAAAAGCUUUUUCUUAAAAUAACCACAUACCCUGUGACUCUCUGUGUUAUUUUCCUGGUGGUCAUGGGGUCUGUCCCCUCACCACUACAGCCUGGGUUCACACCCUGGAAAAGAUUUCUUAUUUCGGUGAAGCUUCUCUUGUACAUACAUUCGAGUUUCAGUAAUGUUACAGCUGCAAUCAAUGAUUCUUUCACUGGUAAAUAGAAAUUUCAUCAUGUUAUUGCACAUUUAUGUGAGCCUACCCUAGUUUUAAAGUGUCUGCCCUGAGCGCUGUUAGUGCCAUAGCCACUCUGUAGCUCUGAAUCCCAUACCCCUCCAAAAGCCUCUUUUGGGGUGAAGGUAAGUGCUCGGGGUGGAGGAGACUGUGCUGCUAACAGACACCGUGGAGCUGGUUAAGCACACAAAUGCAUUCAAACCAGCUCGGUUCCUGUGGUUCAGAACUACCUUAAUAUUUAGUUGGUGUUCCUGGGAGGCUCUGGGAUCAAAAUACUCACUGUGUUUACAAUGACACAUUUACCCUUGGCUCACACUGGCGUGAAACCAGGUCCCACGUGGUAUUUCUCUUCAAUGAGGGGCACUGGUGACCUGCUGGGACCAGGGACUUUAUCACCUUGCCACGUCUCUGUCUUUGUAUAUAUUUCUGGUCACAGUGGCACCUCGGUCUCUGCCUCCAGCACUCCUCAGCAUUGUCCCCUCAAGGAUGAAAAUGCCUUGGUCUUGCCAAAGAAGCUGCUAUCAACAUACACACGUGAACUGCAGCUCUUGCAGUGUGUAAGGAAGGGCACAAGCACGCAACACAAAGUAAGGAAACACGAACAGUGA